ACCGGCCGCGGUACUCUGACCGUGCAAAGGUAGCAUAAUCAUUUGCCUUAUAAUUGAAGGCUAGUAUGAAUGGUUUGAUGAAAACAAAGCUGUCUCCUUUUAAUUUUAUAAAACUUGAUUUUUGGGUGAAGAAGCCCAAAUAAAAUUGAUAGACGAGGAGACCCUAUCGAGCUUAAAAAAAUUUUAUUAAAACAAAGUUGCUUACAAAAGACCAGUUAUAAUAAAAAAUUUUAGUUGGGGCGACUAAGGAACAAUAAAGCUUCCAUUUUUAAUAUUAUAGCAUAUUAGCUAUGAUCCAAAAUCUUUGAUUAAAAGAAUUAGUUACCGUAGGGAUAACAGCAUAAUCUUUUUUAAGAGUUCUUAUCGAAAAAAAGGUUUGUGACCUCGAUGUNGGACUAAAAUAUC
RNAcentral lists this ribosomal RNA (405 nucleotides) under Caldicochlea globosa. RNAcentral's name for it is "partial 16S ribosomal RNA". It matches the Rfam family "Bacterial large subunit ribosomal RNA", at positions 1926 to 2546 of the family's 2925-position model. The record is from RNAcentral. Lineage: Eukaryota; Metazoa; Mollusca; Gastropoda; Littorinimorpha; Tateidae.